This 985-nucleotide long non-coding RNA is filed under the name Bos indicus x Bos taurus (hybrid cattle). RNAcentral's name for it is "lncRNA (ENSBIXG00005006220.1)". The record is from RNAcentral. Lineage: Eukaryota; Metazoa; Chordata; Mammalia; Artiodactyla; Bovidae.
AACUGGCUUCAAGCUGUCCACUAGCCCAAGCUCUCAAAAAAAACAGGUGUUCUCUGAGACUGUCCUUCUCCAAAUAAGUGUCAUUGCCUUUCACUGUAAUGUUUCAAAAUUUCUGUGUGAUGUUUGGUUAAUGCAGGGUGAUCUAUUGGUUCAUUUUGAAGGGGCAACCAUAUGUCUGAACAUCAGUCUCUGUCUUAUGUUACUGGUAGCAUGAUUGAGUAUCUGGGCUCAAAGUUUUCAGAAACUUCUCUACAUAAGGGAAACAGAUGCUUGCCCCAGACACCACUUACAUGUGUUUCCAAGUUACUUAAAUUUCCUACAGUUGUGCAAGUCUGUCUAUGUGCAGGCAAUCUUCUUGCAGAUCUGCUUCAGGACCUGUGAUGGAAAAUUCCAGUACUGGUCAGCCUAGGGGACUGUCAAGUGAAGAGUGGAUCUGAAAGCAACUAGACAAUAGCUGGCAGCAGUGAGAUGGACUGGAUUGGCCUGUUGAAAACAGACCUCAUGAAUGUGGAAUUUGCACUGCUUGGAUGCCUUUUUUUCCUGGUAUGACAGCAUGGAUCUGAAGGGCCAGCAAGUUAACUCAGGAGUUACUCAAGCACAUCAUUGGAAACCACAUGUCUUUAGUCCUGCUGUGAAGCAAGAGGCAGCCCAGGACUCCAGGUUUUUCCUUUCUGGGAGUGAUAUUCUGCUCUGCUCAACUAGGACACCUCACGUGGAGGCUGACGUAGCUUCUCAUCUGCACCUGUGAGGACUUUCCCGAGUGUGAACUUUGUGGAGGCCAGAAGGUGACUGUUACCUGGGCAGUGCCAGAAAGGUCUCUACUCUUUCUCUUUCUAUAUAAAGUUACUUCUUCUCUGUGUGGUGAUUAAUUUGUCAACAUUCAGGUGAAGUCAUUUGCUCAUUUGAAAGGGGAGGAGAAAAUGUUCAAUAGAAAUAUGCACUGUUUGAAAUGUUCUCAAAGAGACUUCUAACCUUUAGUCUCAAU